GGACUACCCGGGUAUCUAAUCCUGUUUGCUCCCCACGCUUUCGCGUCUCAGCGUCAGUCACCGUCCAGAAGGCCGCCUUCGCCGCUGGUGUUCCUCCCGAUAUCUACGAAUUUCACCUCUACACCGGGAAUUCCGCCUUCCUCUCCGGGACUCUAGCGAGGCAGUUUCGAAUGCAGUUCCGGGGUUGAGCCCCGGGAUUUCACACCCGACUUGCCAAGCCGCCUACACGCGCUUUACGCCCAAUAAUUCCGAACAACGCUUGCACCCUCCGUAUUACCGCGGCGGCUGGCAC
Molecule: ribosomal RNA, 292 nt
Filed under: uncultured bacterium
Lineage: Bacteria
Description: partial 16S ribosomal RNA
Source: RNAcentral